UGGGGGAUCGUCUAACGGUAGGACAGCGGCCUUUGAAGCCGUUAAUUUUGGUUCGAUUCCAAGUCCCCCAG
RNAcentral lists this transfer RNA (71 nucleotides) under bacterium. Its description in RNAcentral is "tRNA-Gln". It matches the Rfam family "tRNA". Rfam says of the family: Transfer RNA (tRNA) molecules are approximately 80 nucleotides in length. RNAcentral also lists the same sequence under 3 other names. The record is from RNAcentral.